RNAcentral lists this transfer RNA (72 nucleotides) under Mesocricetus auratus (golden hamster). It matches the Rfam family "tRNA". From Rfam's summary of the family: Transfer RNA (tRNA) molecules are approximately 80 nucleotides in length. Their secondary structure includes four short double-helical elements and three loops (D, anti-codon, and T loops). Further hydrogen bonds mediate the characteristic L-shaped molecular structure. tRNAs have two regions of fundamental functional importance: the anti-codon, which is responsible for specific mRNA codon recognition, and the 3' end, to which the tRNAs corresponding amino acid is attached (by aminoacyl-tRNA synthetases). tRNAs cope with the degeneracy of the genetic code in two manners: having more than one tRNA (with a specific anti-codon) for a particular amino acid; and 'wobble' base-pairing, i.e. permitting non-standard base-pairing at the 3rd anti-codon position. Lineage: Eukaryota; Metazoa; Chordata; Mammalia; Rodentia; Cricetidae. The record is from Rfam by way of RNAcentral.
GGGGAUGUAGCUUAGUUGGUAAAGUGCUUGUCUGGUGUACAGGUGGCCCUGAGUUCAAUCCCAAGGGCCCCA